Molecule: ribosomal RNA, 253 nt
Filed under: uncultured bacterium
Lineage: Bacteria
Description: partial 16S ribosomal RNA
Rfam family: Bacterial small subunit ribosomal RNA
Source: RNAcentral
UACGGAGGGGGCUAGCGUUGUUCGGAAUUACUGGGCGUAAAGCGCACGUAGGCGGCUUUGUAAGUUAGAGGUGAAAGCCCGGGGCUCAACUCCGGAAUUGCCUUUAAGACUGCAUCGCUAGAAUUGUGGAGAGGUAAGUGGAAUUCCGAGUGUAGAGGUGAAAUUCGUAGAUAUUCGGAAGAACACCAGUGGCGAAGGCGACUUACUGGACACAUAUUGACGCUGAGGUGCGCAAGCGUGGGGAGCAAACAGG